UGGCUCAGAGGGAAAAGAAUCUGCCUGCAAUGCAGAAGAUCCAGGUUCGAUUCCUGG
Bos taurus (domestic cattle) is the source of this 57-nucleotide non-coding RNA. NCBI's taxonomy places the organism in Eukaryota, Metazoa, Chordata, Mammalia, Artiodactyla, Bovidae. The record is from Rfam.